GAUAAACGCUGGCGGCAUGCCUUACACAUGCAAGUCGAACGGUAACAGGUCUUCGGAUGCUGACGAGUGGCGAACGGGUGAGUACUACACCGGAACGUGCCUAGUAGUGGGGGAUAACUACUCGAAAGAGUGGCUAAUACCGCAUGAGAUCUACGGAUGAAAGCAGGGGAUCGCAAGACCUUGUGCUACUAGAGCGGCCGAUGGCAGAUUAGGUAGUUGGUGGGAUAAAAGCUUACCAAGCCGACGAUCUGUAGCUGGUCUGAGAGGACGAUCAGCCACACUGGGACUGAGAAACGGCCCAGACUCCUACGGGAGGCAGCAGUGGGGAAUUUUGGACAAUGGGCGCAAGCCUGAUCCAGCAAUGCCGCGUGCAGGAUGAAGGCCUUCGGGUUGUAAACUGCUUUUGUACGGAACGAAAAGCCCCGGGUUAAUACCCUGGGGUCAUGACGGUACCGUAAGAAUAAGCACCGGCUAACUACGUGCCAGCCGCCGCGGUAA
Molecule: ribosomal RNA, 498 nt
Filed under: uncultured bacterium
Lineage: Bacteria
Description: partial 16S ribosomal RNA
Rfam family: Bacterial small subunit ribosomal RNA
Source: RNAcentral